GCCUUCGUGGUGUAGUGGUCUGCAUGCUCAACCCGUAACCGAGAGGUCCGUGGUUCGAUUCCCGGCAAAGGCG
Non-coding RNA from Stegodyphus mimosarum, 73 nucleotides. NCBI's taxonomy places the organism in Eukaryota, Metazoa, Arthropoda, Arachnida, Araneae, Eresidae. The record is from Rfam.